AGAGUUUGAUCAUGGCUCAGGAUGAACGCUAGCGGCAGGCUUAACACAUGCAAGUCGAGGGGCAGCGGGAUGUAGCAAUACAUUGCCGGCGACCGGCGGAUGGGUGCGUAACGCGUAUGCAACCUACCUUAUACAGGGGAAUAACCUUUCGAAAGGGAGACUAACACCCCAUGGUAUUGAUUUAAGGCAUCUUAGAUUAAUUAAAUAUUUAUAGGUAUAAGAUGGGCAUGCGUAUGAUUAGCUAGUUGGUAAGGUAACGGCUUACCAAGGCGACGAUCAUUAGGGGUUCUGAGAGGAAGGUCCCCCACACUGGUACUGAGACACGGACCAGACUCCUACGGGAGGCAGCAGUGAGGAAUAUUGGUCAAUGGGCGCAAGCCUGAACCAGCCAUGCCGCGUGCAAGGAAGACGGCCUUAUGGGUUGUAAACUGCUUUUACAUAAGACUAACCGUAUAUUUGCGAAUAUACCUGAAUGUAUUAUGAGAAUAAGGAUCGGCUAACUCCGUGCCAGCCGCGGC
Molecule: ribosomal RNA, 518 nt
Filed under: uncultured bacterium
Lineage: Bacteria
Description: bacterial SSU rRNA
Rfam family: Bacterial small subunit ribosomal RNA
Source: RNAcentral